RNAcentral lists this ribosomal RNA (254 nucleotides) under uncultured bacterium. RNAcentral's name for it is "partial 16S ribosomal RNA". It matches the Rfam family "Bacterial small subunit ribosomal RNA", at positions 524 to 776 of the family's 1533-position model. The record is from RNAcentral.
UACGGAGGGUGCAAGCGUUAUCCGGAUUCACUGGGUUUAAAGCGCGCGUAGGCGGUCAGCACAAGUCAGUUGUGAAAUCUCCGGGCUUAACUCGGAAAGGUCAACUGAUACUGUGCGACUAGAGUGCAGAAGGGGCAACUGGAAUUCUCGGUGUAGCGGUGAAAUGCGUAGAUAUCGAGAGGAACACCUGCGGCGAAGGCGGGUUGCUGGGCUGACACUGACGCUGAGGCGCGAAAGCCAGGGGAGCAAACGGG